GGGAAUGUAGCUUAGAGGUAGAGUGCUUGCCUAGCAUGCAUGAAGCCGUGGGUUCGAUUCCUCAAUACCA
This 70-nucleotide transfer RNA is filed under the name Dipodomys ordii (Ord's kangaroo rat). It matches the Rfam family "tRNA". Rfam says of the family: Transfer RNA (tRNA) molecules are approximately 80 nucleotides in length. Their secondary structure includes four short double-helical elements and three loops (D, anti-codon, and T loops). Lineage: Eukaryota; Metazoa; Chordata; Mammalia; Rodentia; Heteromyidae. The record is from Rfam by way of RNAcentral.